Oryctolagus cuniculus (rabbit) is the source of this 1070-nucleotide non-coding RNA. The record is from RefSeq and is a predicted model, not a curated record. NCBI's taxonomy places the organism in Eukaryota, Metazoa, Chordata, Mammalia, Lagomorpha, Leporidae.
GGCAAUGGCGGAGAGCAAGUCCAAUUACACAAGUGCUUUUAGUCCUCUGCUCGUGUAAUGUUUACUAACAUGCUAAUGACCAAAGGAAGUCACAAGGGCGAAAACAAACUGCCUCUAAAAACCCUGCAAAGCAUCUGAGAGACACUGGGGCCGUCUGAGCGUCCAGACAGAGCUGUUAGUCACAUCUACCGGGGCAGUUCUACUUUGGGUGAUGUGCACAUAGGGACUGUUUCAUUUCAGCCAGCUGGAGCAACCAGCCUUAUGCAGUGUUCACCCUGGAAGGCAGUAGGCGAUGGCUCAAGUGCUUGGAUCACUGCCACCUAAGUGGGAGACUCAGAUUGAGUUCCUGGAUCCUGGCGUUGGCCUGGCCCAGUCCAGCUGUUGCAGGCCUGGGUCACUCAAUCUUCCCUGAAUAAACCUUAUCUGAGCCUUUUCAUGAAGACUUCUCAUUUCUGUCAGUAAGGAUGAGCCCAGAACCGGCAUCGGGAGGUCCAGCAAGACGAGGCCCUGAAGUGAGGAACCGAGGCCCUUCUCGCAGUCAACCUGCCACGCCAUGUUCAGAGUUUGGCUUACAGGGUGGUGGCCAAUGUCACACCACAGAGCCGGUCACGGCAGAUUCCGCUCACUGCCACUGGCAAGCGUUGCAGACAGCAACAAGGCCGGCCCCACUGGUGAGCACGUGACUCCGUAGUUACACUGACAGUGCUUCGAGCACCAGAUCCCAGAUGUUGCUGCUACCGGUGCCCAUCAAAAAAGAUUCUUGGGGCCAGCACUGUGGCACAGUGGGUUAACACCCUGGUCUGAAGCACUGGCAUUCCGUAUGGGCGCCGGUUCAAGACCCAGCUGCUCUACUUCCUAUCCAGCUCUCUGCUAUGGCCCGGGAAAGCAGUAGAAGAUGGCCCUAGUCCUUGGGCCCCUGUACCCACGUGGGAGACAAAGAAGAAGCUCCUGGCUCUUGGCUUCGGAUCGGCACAGCUCCAGGGGAGUGAACACAUCUGGGAGUGAACCAUCGGAUGGAAGACCUCUCUCUCUCUCUCUCUCUCUCUCUGCCUCUCCUCUCUCUGUGUAAC